Ficedula albicollis (Collared flycatcher) is the source of this 1370-nucleotide long non-coding RNA. RefSeq lists it as uncharacterized. The transcript has 3 exons. NCBI's taxonomy places the organism in Eukaryota, Metazoa, Chordata, Aves, Passeriformes, Muscicapidae. The record is from RefSeq and is a predicted model, not a curated record.
CUUUUCUUAUCAGAUGUUUGCUCUGUGUAAAAUAUUGUUUAAUUGUGAAUUUUGAAAUAUUUGUCAACUGAUUAAUUGCUCUUUUUCAUAAGCUGUGAAUUUAAUUUUGCAGAGGUAAAGAUUUCCCAUACUUAAGCUUUGGCCUUUGUGUUGCCCAUUCAUUCCUGCCCAGAAUGGAUGUAGUAUCAAAAACGGCAAACAGGAAUUCUUGCUCAAACUGGUUUGUGGAGCUGGUUAUGUACCUUCCUCUUCUCUGUUUUUGAAAGGACAAGAAGCCUGUAAAAAUAGUACAGUUGAGCAGCUACAUAGUAGAUUUUAUUAUUCAGUCUUUUAAAGUGGAGAAUCUGACAGAUAUUAAAAGAGAAAAAGCUGAAGUCAUAAUGGCCACUUUUAGCAUCGUUUAGCUGUCCUGUUUGCCAUGAUCUUUACAUCUGCAAGUAAUUAAUACAUAACUUUCCAGGUUUCCAGCUGUGGCCUCUAGUUUUUCUGUUGUAAAAAGAUAUUUAUUUACAGCUUAGUACUCAGAUAUAGAAAAGAUUAAAAUCUUCUUAAAGAUGAAAAAAAUGUGUUUCGUUUUUGUAGAUUUGUGGAUCUGUUACUCAGUAUUGAAUAAUAUGUUGUCUACUCUUUUGCUGUGCUUUCCUUGAAAGUGUAAAAUGUACUUUGAUAUCGUCCGAUUCCUGCCAGAAUGCUUAAUGCCAGGAGUGCUUCUAACAGGUUUUGCUGUAUUUUGCUGGAAGUUCAGGAUCUCCCAGAGAUAAAUAGCCCCAUGUGGUGAAAGCCUCUAAGCAUGAGAAGGGCGUAUGGGAAGAAGCAUCAAGUGCUGAUUGCAGAACUGAGAAAAUAUCUUCAGUGAAGUGAUGAAACUCCUUCAAGUUGGCCAUGAUGCUGUUGAAAAUCGUAACACCAGAAAGUUUUAUCAAUGAAAUGUGAAAAUCUGCUUGAGCAGCACAGAUGCACUGAGUCCUUUACCACUCCUGCUGGUAGGAAGUGAGCCUGUGAAAUCCAUCCACGCCUUCUGCACCCCAGGGACUGGGGACUUUUGCAGGGCUGAAGAGAAAAACUGUUAGAACCAGCCUGAGAGCAAUGCCUAUCUAUGCAAACACUCCUCCCUAAGAAACAACAAACUAUUCAAAAGAUGGACGAUUAAACCUCCAUGUAGUACAACAGAGUGCAUUUAACUGCAUUGUGGCAGUGUCUGGUAAUGUUUAUAUAGACAAAAAAUAAAAAUUUAUGUUUCUGUUCUCAGAAUUUCUGUCUUUCCCAAGCUUUAGUAACAGUUACUUCUGUUUUAGAGUUCAGACUUCCUCUGUGCUUUGUUGGGAUACCAGUGCACCCCUUUAAAUGAAAUAAAGCCUAAGAGCUGCUGA